This 497-nucleotide ribosomal RNA is filed under the name uncultured bacterium. RNAcentral's name for it is "partial 16S ribosomal RNA". It matches the Rfam family "Bacterial small subunit ribosomal RNA", at positions 28 to 507 of the family's 1533-position model. The record is from RNAcentral.
GAUGAACGCUGGCGGCGUGCUUAAUACAUGCAAGUCGAACGAACGGACGCUAAGCUUGCUUCUUUGAUGUUAGCCGCGGGCGGGAGAGUAACGUGUGGAUCCCCUACCUGUAAGACUGGGAUAACUUCGGGAAACCGGAGCUAAUACCGGAUGAUAUUCUGAACCGUGUGGUUGGAAAGUGAAAGACGGUGUUGCGGUCAGUUCUAGAUGGAUCCGCGCUGCAUGAGCUAGUUGGUAAGGUAACGGCUUACCAAGGCAACGAUGCAUAGCCGACCUGAGAGGGGGAGCGGCCACGCUGGAACUGAGACACGGUCCAGACGCCUACGGGAGGCAGCCGUAGGGAAUCGUCCGCAAUGGGCGAAAGCCUGACGGAGCAACGCCGCGUGAGUGAUGAAGGUCUUCGGAUCGUAAAACUGUGUUAUUAGUGAAGAACAUAUGUGUAAGUAACUGUGCACAUCUUGACGGUACCUAAUCAGAAAGCCACGGCUAACUACGUG